RNAcentral lists this ribosomal RNA (485 nucleotides) under Glomus sp. RNAcentral's name for it is "SSU rRNA". It matches the Rfam family "Eukaryotic small subunit ribosomal RNA", at positions 591 to 1078 of the family's 1831-position model. Lineage: Eukaryota; Fungi; Glomeromycota; Glomeromycetes; Glomerales; Glomeraceae. The record is from RNAcentral.
CCAAUAGCGUAUAUUAAAGUUGCUGCAGUUAAAAAGCUCGUAGUUGAAUUUCGGGACCAAUAUGUCGGUCGUGCUUCGGUACGUACUUGCAUUAUUGGUUUCUCCCUUCUGACGAACCAUGAUGUCAUUAAUUUGGUGUCUUGGGGAAUCAGGACUGUUACUUUGAAAAAAUUAGAGUGUUUAAAGCAGGCUCACGCUUGAAUACAUUAGCAUGGAAUAAUGAAAUAGGACGUUUGAUUCUAUUUUGUUGGUUUCUAGGAUCGACGUAAUGAUUAAUAGGGAUAGUUGGGGGCAUUAGUAUUCAAUUGUCAGAGGUGAAAUUCUUGGAUUUAUUGAAGACUAACUACUGCGAAAGCAUUUGCCAAGGAUGUUUUCAUUAAUCAAGAACGAAAGUUAGGGGAUCGAAGACGAUCAGAUACCGUCGUAGUCUUAACCAUAAACUAUGCCGACUAGGGAUCGGAUGAUGUUAAUUUUUUAAUGACUCA